UACGUAGGGGGCAAGCGUUAUCCGGAUUUACUGGGUGUAAAGGGAGCGUAGACGGCAGCGCAAGUCUGGAGUGAAAUGCCGGGGCCCAACCCCGGAACUGCUUUGGAAACUGUGCAGCUCGAGUGCAGGAGAGGUAAGCGGAAUUCCUAGUGUAGCGGUGAAAUGCGUAGAUAUCACGCAGAACUCCGAUUGCGAAGGCAGCGUACCGGCAUCCAACUGACGCUGAGGCACGAAAGCGUGGGGAUCAAACAGG
Molecule: ribosomal RNA, 253 nt
Filed under: uncultured bacterium
Lineage: Bacteria
Description: partial 16S ribosomal RNA
Rfam family: Bacterial small subunit ribosomal RNA
Source: RNAcentral